AGGACGAACGCUGGCGGCGUGCUUAACACAUGCAAGUCGAGCGGAAAGGCCUUUCGGGUACUCGAGCGGCGAACGGGUGAGUAACACGUGAGUAACCUGCCCCCUACUUUGGGAUAACCCUCGGAAACGGGGCUAAUACCGGAUAUGACUUGGCCCGGCAUCGGGUUUGGUGGAAAGUUUUUCGGUGGGGAUGGGCUCGCGGCCUAUCAGCUUGUUGGUGGGGUAAUGGCCUACCAAGGCGACGACGGGUAGCC
This 254-nucleotide ribosomal RNA is filed under the name uncultured bacterium. RNAcentral's name for it is "partial small subunit ribosomal RNA". It matches the Rfam family "Bacterial small subunit ribosomal RNA", at positions 26 to 288 of the family's 1533-position model. The record is from RNAcentral.